This 2745-nucleotide non-coding RNA is filed under the name Cryptosporidium parvum. Lineage: Eukaryota; Apicomplexa; Conoidasida; Eucoccidiorida; Cryptosporidiidae. The record is from RNAcentral.
GUCCGGACCUUCUAGGCGAAUUACUUUUUCCCUAGAUUCUUCUGUCUCUUUCUUUCUGAUUUACAAAUCAAUAUUCUGACUGAAAGAUUAUUAACCUAGCUCCCAUUUAUUUUUUACCAGGUUAGUUAUCAAUUUUAUUAUUAAUAACUAUUUCCCUCUUUUUCUUUCUUCCUUUAACUUCAUUCAAAUACAAGAAAAAAUGAUAUUAGCUCAAAUUGCAUGCAAAACCCGCCAAAAAGCGCCUAAAUAUUGGUUUGUUUACGUGGGGAGAGCGCUAAGGCUAUGGGGGAAUUUAUCGAAUAUUAUAAAAAAUGACUAAGGAAAUGAAUUAUAUAAAAGAAAAAAUAAUUCAGAAAAGAAAAUGAGCAAAAAAGUGGCCAGAAUUAUAUUAUAGAAACAGAAAAGAAUAGCGGCUUGCAUUUUACCUCCAAAUUCAAUUGGUAAAGGUUAGAUGCCAUAAUUUAUAGCUUACUGUGCAAAUUUGCAUGUAGUUGGCGGGAGUGCAUGCAUAAUAAAAACAGUAUUUCAGCAAACAAAAUUUGAGUUUGGACAAAAACUUAAAAAAAAAAAUGAAAAUAUUAAUAAAUAUAUGCAUAUUGUAUUGAAGGCGAAGUUGAAGAUACCUCUAUAACUUAAUCUUUAUCUUAAAUGUAUUCAUUAAGUUGGUUCCAGUGAGUAGUGGAACCAGGAAUCAAUAGUAUAGUGAGUGUGGGUGCUAUUAAUUUGUAAUGCCAAGCAUGGAAAAGUUAUGGGAUAUUAAAGUUCAUCCCUGGAGCUUUCCUGUCCAUAGUCAGAGUCUUCAGAGUCACUAUAUUCGUGAUCUUCUUCAUCGUUUUGGUAAGAGGCUGUUGGCUCUGACUCUGCUGGAACAGGGAUCGGAGUGGAUCUAGGGAUGUUAGAUGAUAGAGAGUGGGAUCCAUCCAGGAGUCCAUCAAUAAACUUUGGAAGCUGCUCAAGGUUAUCAAAUGUUUGAAAUUUCCUUCUCUUAGCUCUAUAAAUGGCAAUACAUGUUUUUGAAGACGGUGAAAACUCAGAAUGACAUUUGAAAGUAUCUAAGAAGUGGCUAUUUUUGCCAUUUCUAAAGGCUGAGAUCCAGAAGAAGUUUAUUGGGUCGUUUCUAUACUUGAAAGAAAGGUCUUCAAAACGCUUAUCCAUUCUAAAGUCAUUCUUUUCCAUAAUUAAAAUAACACAAAAUCUUGAAUCAGUCUCGGAGCAGAACCCUUUGGAAGUAACCAAUUCAAAAGUAAGUUCCUGAACUUUGCUCUUCAAGGCCUCGUUAAUGUCAUGCUGUUUCCUUGCUCUAAAUGAGCCAACAAUACGACUCAAUGUUAAAGUAAUGACAUCAUGAGAAAUUGUAUUAAGAGAAAUCCAUUCUCCAGAGGCAGUUAUUGAUGAUGAUUCUGUGGCUUUUCCUCCAACUUUAUUUCCAGAUUCAUUAAUUUCAUCUACUGAGAGAAUAUAAGGGGGAUUUGCGGGUUUUGAAGCUUCCAUGUGGGGUGAUGCAAAGAAUAUCUUUUUCAGCCAGUCAUUAUUAAUCGAGACAAUUGCUAGGUUUAGUCUAUUCUGGAAAUCUUUUGCAAUCUUUUUGAGUAAAGGAGAGGAAGAGUCUUUGUUUGUGAACAAAACUGCUUUUGGAAUAUGCUUCCCAAGUCUAAGCCAUUGAAUCGCUUGGUUAUAAGAAUUGAGACGCAUAGAGUGAUCUGGCAUUUUUUCUGUUAUCCAUUUGCCUAUAUUUGAUUCACUAUAUGGAUUCUUAGAUCCAGGACUUGGAUUAAAGACUAUUUGGCUAUUUUUACCUUUAAUAAACAUGGAUAGGUGAGGGUACUUCUCAAUAUUAUAGGAUUGACAAAGUUGAAAAUGGGUAUCGCAAUUAACUGCUCCAAAUUCUACAUCAUACUGGGACAUUAGUUUUGCUAUAUUUCCAUAGGCUUGUACUAGCUGCUUACAGGGUCCACAUCCAGGCCUAUAGAAGUUAACAAUCAUAAUCCAUUCUCUGGAUUUGAUCUUAUCCUUGAUUUCACCAGCUGACAUUGUUGAAAGUUCAGUAACAUGUUUUGAGUCCGAAUACAAGUUGUUAUAGGAGCUUCCUUGAGAUUCAAAAUGAGAUCUUGAAUUACUUCCCUGACGCCUACCUCCACCACCUCCUCCAAAACCAAAUGGUCCUCCCCCUCCAAAAUGGAAAGUAUUGCCUCCUGCACUAAACUUGAAACCUCCGAAGUCCCCAAAGCCUCCAAAUCCACCAAAUCCACCAAAAUCAAAUCCUCCAUCUCCUCCUCCACCAAAUCCUUCAGACUUUAAUCCCUCUUCUCCAAAAGCAUCGUAUUUACGUCUUGUUUCAGGAUUGACUAAAACCUCAUAUGCAUUUGCAACUUCCAUGAAUUUCUCUUUAGAGCCAGGAUUUUUGUCUGGAUGGUAUUUUAAGCUUAACUUUCUGUAUGCUCGUUUUAUUUGGUUCUCAUUUGCAUUUCUUGGAACCCCUAAAAUCUUAUAGUAAUCUUUUCCUGCAAUUACUGGUAUUACUAUUAACAAUACUAAUCUUAGCACGAAUAAAACGCAGAGCAUCUUUGAUUUGCCAUGAAUUUAAAGACAGUAAUUAUCUACUCUGAAAACUGUGUCAAAACCACUCCUCACAAUUUAGUAUUUAAGAUUCUUAAUAAUUAUGAUACCACUUUUCCUGUUUAUUUAUUCUUUGCUUGAACCUUAUAGGAAUUUAUUAUUCCUAUUCCAAAUUAGAUUCUUUAAGUG